AGAAUCAACGCUGGCGGCGUGCCUAACACAUGCAAGUCGAACGAGAAAGUGGAGCAAUCCAUGAGUAAAGUGGCGCACGGGUGAGUAACACGUGACUAACCUACCUUUUAGUGGGGGAUAACCUAGGGAAACCUGGGCUAAUACCGCAUAACACUUACGAGUCAAAGCAGCAAUGCGCUGAAAGAGGGGGUCGCGGCCGAUUAGCUAGUUGGCGGGGUAAUGGCCCACCAAGGCAGUGAUCGGUAUCCGGCCUGAGAGGGCGCACGGACACACUGGAACUGAAACACGGUCCAGACUCCUACGGGAGGCAGCAGUGGGGAAUUUUGCGCAAUGGGCGAAAGCCUGACGGAGCGACGCCGCGUGCACGAGGAAGGUCUUCGGAUCGUAAAGUGCUGUCGAGGGGGACGAUUAUGACGGUACCCCUGGAGGAAGCCCCGGCUAACGUACGCGCCAGCAGGCCGC
RNAcentral lists this ribosomal RNA (462 nucleotides) under uncultured bacterium. RNAcentral describes it as "SSU rRNA". It matches the Rfam family "Bacterial small subunit ribosomal RNA", at positions 26 to 518 of the family's 1533-position model. The record is from RNAcentral.